UCAUACGCAUGUACUACCCUGAAAAUGCCCUAUUUCAUCUGACCUCAGGAGCUAAGCAGGGUAAGAUCUGGUUAGAGCAUUGGUCGAAGAAAGAGGGGAGCUGGAGGAACUGGGGUAUGGC
This 121-nucleotide ribosomal RNA is filed under the name Sorex araneus (European shrew). The record is from RNAcentral. Lineage: Eukaryota; Metazoa; Chordata; Mammalia; Eulipotyphla; Soricidae.